GAUGAACGCUGGCGGCGUGCCUAAUACAUGCAAGUCGAGCGAACAGACGAGGAGCUUGCUCCUCUGACGUUAGCGGCGGACGGGUGAGUAACACGUGGAUAACCUACCUAUAAGACUGGGAUAACUUCGGGAAACCGGAGCUAAUACCGGAUAAUAUAUUGAACCGCAUGGUUCAAUAGUGAAAGACGGUUUUACUGUCACUUAUAGAUGGAUCCGCGCCGCAUUAGCUAGUUGGUAAGGUAACGGCUUACCAAGGCAACGAGGCGUAGCCGACCUGAGAGGGUGAUCGGCCACACUGGAACUGAGACACGGUCCAGACUCCUACGGGAGGCAGCAGUAGGGAAUCUUCCGCAAUGGGCGAAAGCCUGACGGAGCAACGCCGCGUGAGUGAUGAAGGUCUUCGGAUCGUAAAACUCUGUUAUUAGGGAAGAACAAAUGUGUAAGUAACUAUGCACGUCUUGACGGUACCUAAUCAGAAAGCCACGGCUAACUACGUG
RNAcentral lists this ribosomal RNA (497 nucleotides) under uncultured bacterium. RNAcentral describes it as "partial 16S ribosomal RNA". It matches the Rfam family "Bacterial small subunit ribosomal RNA", at positions 28 to 507 of the family's 1533-position model. The record is from RNAcentral.